GAUGAACGCUAGCGGGAGGCCUAACACAUGCAAGCCGAGCGGUAUUGUUUCUUCGGAAAUGAGAGAGCGGCGUACGGGUGCGUAACACGUGUGCAACCUGCCUUUAUCUGGGGGAUAGCCUUUCGAAAGGAAGAUUAAUACUCCAUAAUAUAUUGAACGGCAUCGUUUAAUAUCGAAAGCUCCGGCGGAUAGAGAUGGGCACGCGCAAGAUUAGCUAGUUGGUGAGGUAACGGCUCACCAAGGCGAUGAUCUUUAGGGGGCCUGAGAGGGUGAUCCCCCACACUGGUACUGAGACACGGACCAGACUCCUACGGGAGGCAGCAGUAAGGAAUAUUGGUCAAUGGGUGCAAGCCUGAACCAGCCAUCCCGCGUGAAGGACGACUGCCCUAUGGGUUGUAAACUUCUUUUGUAUAGGGAUAUACCUACCCUCGUGAGGGUAGCUGAAGGUACUAUACGAAUAAGCACCGGCUAACUCCGUGCCAGCCGCCGCCGUAA
This 495-nucleotide ribosomal RNA is filed under the name uncultured bacterium. Its description in RNAcentral is "partial 16S ribosomal RNA". It matches the Rfam family "Bacterial small subunit ribosomal RNA", at positions 28 to 523 of the family's 1533-position model. The record is from RNAcentral.